RNAcentral lists this ribosomal RNA (1242 nucleotides) under metagenome. RNAcentral describes it as "bacterial LSU rRNA". It matches the Rfam family "Bacterial large subunit ribosomal RNA", at positions 1564 to 2815 of the family's 2925-position model. The record is from RNAcentral.
UGAAUACGAGAUGCUACGGCGUCGAAGCAGUCUAUGUCAUACUUCCAAGAAAAGCUUGCACUGUCAUAAACAAAUAAUGCCUGUACCAUAACCGACACAGGUGGGUAGGUAGAGUAUACUAAGGGGCGCGAGAUAACUCUCUCUAAGGAACUCGGCAAAAUGACUCCGUAACUUCGGGAGAAGGAGUGCCUUAUUUAUAAGGUUGCAAUAACAAGAUCCAAGCAACUGUUUACCAAAAACACAGGUCUCCGCUAAGUCGUAAGACGAUGUAUGGGGGCUGACGCCUGCCCAGUGCCAGAAGGUUAAAGAAGUUGGUUAGCAUCCGCGAAGCUGAUAACUGAAGCCCUGGUGAACGGCGGCCGUAACAAUAACGGUCCUAAGGUAGCGAAAUUCCUUGUCGGGUAAGUUCCGACCCGCACGAAAGGCGUAAUGAUUUGGAUACUGUCUCGGAGAGGGGCUCGGUGAAAUAGACUUGUCUGUGAAGAUGCGGACUACCUGCACCAGGACAGAAAGACCCUAUGAAGCUUUACUGUAACCUGAAAUUGAAAUUGGACUUUACUUGCGCAGUAUAGGUGGGAGGCGUUGAGAAUAUUCUUGCGGGAUUAUUGGAGCCAUCAGUGAGAUACCACUCUUGUAAUGUUAGAUUUCUAACUUUGUAUCAUUAUCUGGUCAAAGAACAGUUUCAGGCGGGCAGUUUGACUGGGGCGGUCGCCUCCUAAACGGUAACGGAGGCGCACAAAGGUUUCCUCUGAACGGGUAGAAAUCGUAUCUAGAGUGUAAAGGCAUAAGGAAGCUUGACUGUGAGACCUACAAGUCGAGCAGGGACGAAAGUCGGUCUUAGUGAUCUGACGGUGCUGAGUGGAAAGGCCGUCACUCAACGGAUAAAAGUUACUCUAAGGAUAACAGGCUGAUCUCCCCCAAGAGUUCACAUCGACGGGGAGGUUUGGCACCUCGAUGUCGGCUCAUCGCAUCCUGGGGCGGUAGUACGUCCCAAGGGUUGGGCUGUUCGCCCAUGAAAGCGGUACGCGAGCUGGGUUCAGAACGUCGUGAGACAGUUCGGUCCAUAUCCGGUGUAGGCGUUAGAAUAUUGAGAGGAGCCUUCUUUAGUACGAGAGGACCGAGAAGGACAUACCUCUGGUGUACCAGUUAUCGUGCCAACGGUAAACGCUGGGUAGCUAUGUGUGGAGUGGAUAACCGCUGAAAGCAUCUAAGUGGGAAGCCCACCUCAAGAUAAGUAUUCUC